RNAcentral lists this ribosomal RNA (557 nucleotides) under uncultured bacterium. RNAcentral describes it as "partial 16S ribosomal RNA". It matches the Rfam family "Bacterial small subunit ribosomal RNA", at positions 355 to 904 of the family's 1533-position model. The record is from RNAcentral.
CUAAGAAUAUUCCGCAAUGGGCGGAAGUCUGACGGAGCGACGCCGCGUGGAUGACGAAGGCCGAAAGGUUGUAAAGUUCUUUUGCUGGGGAAGAAUAACCGCAGGAGGGAAUGCCUGUGGGAUGACAAGAACCGGCGAAUAAGCCCCGGCCAACUACGUGCCAGCAGCCGCGGUAACACGUAGGGGGGCGAGCGUUGUUCGGAAUUACUGGGCGUAAAGGGCAUGUAGGCGGCUUGGAAAGCCUGGCGUGAAAGUCUGCAGCUUAGCUGCAGGGGUGCGCUGGGAACUGCUGAGCUUGAGUGACGGAGAGGGAGCUGGAAUUCCUGGUGGUAGGGGGUGAAAUCUGUAGAUAUCAGGAAGAACACCGAUGGCGAAGGCAAGCUCCUGGCCGAUGACUGACGCUGAGGUGCGAAAGUGUGGGGAUCAAACAGGAUUAGAUACCCUGGUAGUCCACACAGUCAACGAUGUGCACUAGGUGCUGGGGCGGUAGCUUCGGUGCCGGAGCGAACGUGGUAAGUGCACCGCCUGGGGAGUAUGCUCGCAAGGGUGAAACUCAA